Molecule: ribosomal RNA, 379 nt
Filed under: uncultured bacterium
Lineage: Bacteria
Description: bacterial SSU rRNA
Rfam family: Bacterial small subunit ribosomal RNA
Source: RNAcentral
AAUGAACGCUGGCGGCGCGCCUAAUACAUGCAAGUCGAGCGAGAAGACGUAGCAAUACGUUUGUAAAGCGGCGAACGGGUGAGGAAUACAUGGGUAACCUACCCUAGAGUGGGGAAUAACUAGCCGAAAGGUUAGCUAAUACCGCGUACGCUCCUUGGACUUCGGCUCAGGGAGGAAAGCGAUGCCGAGGGUAUCGCGCUCUUGGAUGGGCUCAUGUCCUAUCAGCNGUUGGUGAGGUAACGGCUCACCAAGGCUUCGACGGGUAGCUGGUCUGAGAGGACGAUCAGCCACACUGGCACUGCGACACGGGCCAGACUCCUACGGGAGCAGCAGUAAGGAAUAUUGCGCAAUGGGCGAAAGCCUGACGCAGCGACGCCGC